Long non-coding RNA from Catharus ustulatus (Swainson's thrush), 436 nucleotides. RefSeq lists it as uncharacterized. Lineage: Eukaryota; Metazoa; Chordata; Aves; Passeriformes; Turdidae. The record is from RefSeq and is a predicted model, not a curated record. The transcript is spliced from 2 exons.
GCCGUUCCCAUGGCGACCGGGGGCGCGCAGGAGCCGCGCGCGGGCCGGACGGAGACGGCGGGAGAGCGGCGGGUUCCGGACACCCUGCGGGAGCUGCGGGAGCUGCUGGAGCUCCGGCAGCGGCAGCUGCGGUCCCGCAUCGCCGCCUGCGAGGAGCUGACGGCGGCCAUGGCCGCGCUGCGGGCCGCGCUGUGCCCCGGGAGCCCCGAGGAGCCCCGGGAGCCCUGAGGGGAGCCCUGAGGAGCCCCGGGAGCGAGGCUCGGCCCUGCGGAAGGGCCCGGGGCGUUCGGGGCUCCAGGUCCGCCAGGACGGGCCGGGGGAAGGAGCGCAGGGAGCGGUGACGGCUCCCCCGCCCUGGCCUUGGAGCUCGCUCGGUGUCGCCGCGCUCGUGCCUUAUCGCAUUAAAUAAAAUAAAGCGAGACGAGCUUGGUCUGUA